GACGAACGCUGGCGGCGUGCUUAACACAUGCAAGUCGAGCGGUAAGGCCCUUUCGGGGGUACACGAGCGGCGAACGGGUGAGUAACACGUGGGUGACCUGCCCUUAGCUCUGGGAUAAGCCUGGGAAACUGGGUCUAAUACCGGAUAUGACCUCAUGACUCAUGUUGUGGGGUGGAAAGCCUUGUGCGGCUAGGGAUGGGCCCGCGGCCUAUCAGCUUGUUGGUGGGGUAAUUGCCUACCAAGGCGACGACGGGUAGCCGGCCUGAGAGGGCGACCGGCCACACUGGGACUGAGACACGGCCCAGACUCCUACGGGAGGCAGCAGUGGGGAAUCUUGCGCAAUGGGCGAAAGCCUGACGCAGCGACGCCGCGUGAGGGAUGACGGCCUCGGUUGUAA
RNAcentral lists this ribosomal RNA (397 nucleotides) under uncultured bacterium. RNAcentral's name for it is "bacterial SSU rRNA". It matches the Rfam family "Bacterial small subunit ribosomal RNA", at positions 28 to 428 of the family's 1533-position model. The record is from RNAcentral.